Molecule: ribosomal RNA, 594 nt
Filed under: uncultured bacterium
Lineage: Bacteria
Description: bacterial SSU rRNA
Rfam family: Bacterial small subunit ribosomal RNA
Source: RNAcentral
AGUUGGUGGGGUAAUGGCCCACCAAGCCCGUGAUCGGUAGCCGGCCUGAGAGGGUGAACGGCCACAUUGGAACUGAGACACGGUCCAAACUCCUACGGGAGGCAGCAGUGGGGAAUAUUGGGCAAUGGGGGGAACCCUGACCCAGCAACGCCGCGUGAGGGAAGAAGGUUUUCGGAUUGUAAACCUCUGUUCUUGGGGAAGAGUGAAAGACGGUACCCAAGGAGGAAGCCCCGGCUAACUACGUGCCAGCAGCCGCGGUAAUACGUAGGGGGCGAGCGUUGUCCGGAAUGAUUGGGCGUAAAGGGCGCGUAGGCGGCUUUGCAAGUCAGUAGUGGAAGUCCAUUUUUCAAGGAUGGAAGUGCUACAGAAACUGCGGAGCUUGAGUGCAGGAGAGGUUAUCGGAAUUCCCGGUGUAGCGGUGAAAUGCGUAGAGAUCGGGAGGAACACCAGUGGCGAAGGCGGGUAACUGGACUGCAACUGACGCUGAGGCGCGAAAGUGUGGGGAGCAAACAGGAUUAGAUACCCUGGUAGUCCACACUGUAAACGAUGAAUGCUAGGUGUAGGAGGUAUCGACCCCUUCUGUGCCGCAGUAAA